ACAUACUCAAUCCUCGUUCUUUCCCAUUUCUCCAGAGGAACAAUGCCUCAAACUUAAAUGAUUUCAGUGACUGCUGGAGUUGCCACUAAAGCAAGAAGACAAUAGGUUCAUAUCCCAACUGUGUCAUAUCCAAUAACAACAUCAAGUCACAAAUCUUAGGAAAAUCUAGCAUUUGACCACUGGGACUUCUGACAGUAGAAGUCACUGCAUAGCUUCUCUAAUAGGACUGA
This 230-nucleotide long non-coding RNA is filed under the name Salvator merianae (Argentine black and white tegu). RNAcentral describes it as "lncRNA (ENSSMRG00000007778.1)". The record is from RNAcentral. Lineage: Eukaryota; Metazoa; Chordata; Lepidosauria; Squamata; Teiidae.